UUACGGUCAUAUCACAUUCAAACACCAGUUCCCGUACAAUCACCGACGUUAAGCAACGUCGAGCCUGGUCAGUACCUAGAUGUCCGCUGGGGAAUACCAGGUGCC
Acanthosepion pharaonis is the source of this 105-nucleotide non-coding RNA. NCBI's taxonomy places the organism in Eukaryota, Metazoa, Mollusca, Cephalopoda, Sepiida, Sepiidae. The record is from the annotation of a GenBank genome assembly.